RNAcentral lists this long non-coding RNA (1272 nucleotides) under Homo sapiens (human). Its description in RNAcentral is "non-protein coding LINC00390:5". Lineage: Eukaryota; Metazoa; Chordata; Mammalia; Primates; Hominidae. The record is from RNAcentral.
GAACCCACCAGGGCAGAGCCUCAGCUCUCAGCCUCCCGGAAUGAACCAUGAACCCAAAGCAAAGAGCAGAACUCCUUUGACACCUCCAGCUUCACAGACAAAGAUGAAUCUCCUAAGGCAUUUCUGAAACAUGCAGUUCUGAAGUCUGGCCAGCCACACCAAAGAGCUUUUCGCAAGAAGGCACAGGCCAGGUAGAGGCAGCUGUGCAGUGGGAGGACUGUGAUGUUUUGGACUAGAAAAUAAGACGCAAAUGAGGCCAAAAAAACACAGGCACUGCAUAAAGGUGUCUUCUCCCCACUUUAUAAGCCUUAUGUGUGAUAAUAUUCAAUGCCACAGCAAGGCAAGCAAAUAGGUCCUUGGAGGGAGGGAUAGCUGGAUUUUAAUCCUGGCUCUACACUAAGGUCUUGGACUACUUACUGCAGGUCUCUGAGCUUCAUAGUUUUAUGUAUAAAAUAGGAUGAAGACCAUCCCCAAAUCCACUUCGAUGGUGAGAAUUAGGUGACAUGACAGCAGAAGGGCAUUUAGAGUUUGGCACAGAAGGGAUCUCAACAAAUGGUAGCUGUGUUUCAUCGUUCAUUUGAGAACUGAUGUUUGGAUCCUUUUCUGCAUCUUGAAAUGUCCCAAAAUAUUCCUCCUUAAGCCCUGCAGUUGGAUACUCAUUGAUACUUCUCUGUUCAAUUUAUACUGCGAGCAGGGGAGGGAGGCUUGAGCUUGGUUCCAUGAACGAGGUUGAAGGGUGUAAGUCUCCCAGCUUCAUUUCUGUCUCCUCCUCACCUGGGGAGCCAUGGCCAAUUCUCUUCCCAGGUCACUUGACUUCUCCAUGACCAUGACUUUCACCUUCUGCAUUUUGGAACAAUAUACUCAUGAAUGCUAAGAAGCUUUUGUUUCUUUCUGCCUGUGCUGAGCCUGUCUACUAUAAAAGAAAAAUCACAAUGGUUGUCAUAGUUAUGCUCUUUGCUUCCUGAGUGGAAUAGCACCGGUUUUUAUGUUACAUUAUACUAUAUUCUGGAUCUCUCUUUGAUGGUGGGUUAUGGAGAAGGUUUGCCAAUUCUUUCUUUUACAAUUCUUUUUAAAUAAAUCCUCAGAAUUAAGGCCAUUUUAUUAUCUUCUUUUACUUUUAAAUACACACACACACACACACACACACACACACAUAUACAUAAAAUGCUCACCAACUUUAAAAAAACAUAUUUAAACACCUGGAGUCUGCCAUAUAGUGGUAUUGGGAAAGAAUCCAGAAGAAAUUGAGGCCACGGGAAUAUUUUAAAAGGC